AUGAGCUCUCAGAAGACAUCCUGGCCGGAGUUGGUGGGCGAGCCAGCGACACCGGCAGUGAUGACGAUUAACAGCCAAAGGCCCGACUUGACGACGGAGGUGCUCCAGAUUGGGACCAGCCCAAGCCCGCCGGGGUUCGACUCGACACGUGUCUGCGUCUUCCUCGAUCCACGAGACAAGCUUGGCCGUGUUGCAGCGGUCCCUGUCGUUGGCUAG
Molecule: ribosomal RNA, 216 nt
Filed under: Triticum aestivum (bread wheat)
Lineage: Eukaryota; Viridiplantae; Streptophyta; Magnoliopsida; Poales; Poaceae
Description: partial small subunit ribosomal RNA
Source: RNAcentral